GACGAACGCUGGCGGCGUGCUUAACACAUGCAAGUCGAACGGAAAGGCCCUGCUUGCAGGGUACUCGAGUGGCGAACGGGUGAGUAACACGUGGGUGAUCUGCCCUGCACUUCGGGAUAAGCUUGGGAAACUGGGUCUAAUACCGGAUAGGAGCCAUCUUUAGUGUGGUGGUUGGAAAGUUUUUUCGGUGUAGGAUGAGCUCGCGGCCUAUCAGCUUGUUGGUGGGGUAAUGGCCUACCAAGGCGGCGACGGGUAGCCGGCCUGAGAGGGUGUACGGCCACAUUGGGACUGAGAUACGGCCCAGACUCCUACGGGAGGCAGCAGUGGGGAAUAUUGCACAAUGGGCGCAAGCCUGAUGCAGCGACGCCGCGUGGGGGAUGAACGCCUUCGGGUUGUAAACUCCUUUCGCUAGGGACGAAGCUUUUUUGUGACGGUACCUAGAGAAGAAGCACCGGCUAACUACGUG
This 466-nucleotide ribosomal RNA is filed under the name uncultured bacterium. RNAcentral's name for it is "partial 16S ribosomal RNA". It matches the Rfam family "Bacterial small subunit ribosomal RNA", at positions 28 to 507 of the family's 1533-position model. The record is from RNAcentral.